Molecule: long non-coding RNA, 389 nt
Organism: Hibiscus syriacus
Lineage: Eukaryota; Viridiplantae; Streptophyta; Magnoliopsida; Malvales; Malvaceae
Exons: 3
Source: RefSeq, a predicted model, not a curated record
CUCUAGCAGCUAAGGAGCCAUCGGUACAUUAAUGGAGACAUUUUCUUCCCUUUUGAUUGUACCUGAUUUGAAACAGGAAAGCGUGAAUGAAAAACAAAAUGUGGCCUCACACCAAAUCCACAAAAUUUAAAUAACCGGAAACAGAUUAUAUCAUUCAAAAUAGAUACAAGAAAUGUCGGUGCCAAAUCUUUACAGCCUGUGCAUGCAUUAACCGUUUAUUGACACAGAAAUGAACCAUCAUUUUCUGAUAAUGCAUGGGACAAUGUGCUGAUAUUUGUCGUAAUUAUCAGGGAAUCAAAAGGACCUCCUAAUGAAAUCGUUGCAAUUCAAACAAAGAAGCAAAAGUCUAAUAGAAUUCAGCAUCAAAACCGCUAACUUACACAAAUUCA